GACAGAGGGCGCAAGCGUUGUUCGGAAUCACUGGGCGUAAAGCGUUCGUAGGCGGCUUGACAGGUCGGGAGUGAAAUCCCUCGGCUUAACCGAGGAAUUGCUUUCGAAACCGUUAAGCUGGAAUACCGGAGAGGGAAGCGGAAUUCCUGGUGUAGGGGUGAAAUCCGUAGAUAUCAGGAGGAACACCUGUGGCGAAGGCGGCUUCCUAGACGAGUAUUGACGCUGAGGAACGAAAGCGUGGGUAG
Molecule: ribosomal RNA, 245 nt
Filed under: uncultured delta proteobacterium
Lineage: Bacteria; Deltaproteobacteria
Description: partial 16S ribosomal RNA
Rfam family: Bacterial small subunit ribosomal RNA
Source: RNAcentral